This 401-nucleotide ribosomal RNA is filed under the name Crustacea environmental sample. RNAcentral's name for it is "partial small subunit ribosomal RNA". It matches the Rfam family "Eukaryotic small subunit ribosomal RNA", at positions 30 to 432 of the family's 1831-position model. The record is from RNAcentral. Lineage: Eukaryota; Metazoa; Arthropoda.
GCUUGUCUCAAAGAUUAAGCCAUGCAUGUCUAAGUAUAACUCUUUUACUUUGAAAACUGCGAACGGCUCAUUAAAUCACACCUAAUCUACUGGAAAGUUACUAGUUACUUGGAUAACUGAGGUAAUUCUUGAGCUAAUACAUGCGAAAAAUCUCGACUCACGGAGAGAUGCUUUUAUUAGAUCAAAACCAAACGGCUUCGGCCGUCUCAUUGGUGACUCUGAAUAACUUUGGGCUGAUCGUAUGGCCUUGUGCCGACGACGUUUCCUUCGAAGGUGUGCCCUAUCAACUGUCGACUGUGAUAUAGACGCUCACAGUGGUUUUGACGGGUAACGGGGAAUCAGGGUUCGAUUCCGGAGAGGGAGCCUUAAAAACGGCUACCACAUCCAAGGAAGGCAGCAGG